Salvelinus namaycush (lake trout) is the source of this 1187-nucleotide long non-coding RNA. RefSeq lists it as uncharacterized. The transcript has 3 exons. The record is from RefSeq and is a predicted model, not a curated record. NCBI's taxonomy places the organism in Eukaryota, Metazoa, Chordata, Actinopteri, Salmoniformes, Salmonidae.
UUAUGUUAUCCAUGGAGAACUGCAAAUAUGUUGCUACUACGCUCAAUAACAUUGCGGCCCUGAAUUUAUCAGGUGCUAUCUACAAAGGUCAGUAGGAAAAAGUUGUGAUGGACUACGGUCGUGCCAUGCAAUGCUGACACUCAUUUCAUAACACGUUUUGAAAUCAGUGGAACACAACGUGCCAAACAAGCUGUGCAAACUAAACGAAAACAGAACAGGAUGUCUUAUAAAAGGGGUUGCAGUCUGCCGUGAAGCUUUCAUCUAUGUAUACAGGUAAGAAUCUAGCUACAGAUUCAGAUAUUAUAAGUUUCUAAUUUUGUCAGAAGGUUGUUUUCAUCACAAGCUAAAGCUUGCUGGAGUUCGAUGGCUGGCUUGCUUUUUAAAAAUGUAACCUUUAUUUAACUAGGCAAGUCAGUUAAGAACAAAUUCUUUACAAUGACAGCCUACCAGGGAACAGUGGGUUAACUGCCUUGUUCAGGGGCAAAAUGACAGACUUUUAUCUUGUCAGCUUGGGGAUUUGAUCCAGUAACCUUUCGUUUACUGCUCCAAUGCAUUAACCACUAGGCUAACUAACAAUGAACUAAUUAACAAUGAACUUAAUGUGAAGCUUUCGUCCAUGUAUACAGCAUUAAAUCAGUAGAACACGCCUGACUCUAAUCCACCAGUCAUACAGUCAUCAAAAAGAGAGCUGGCCCAAGCAAGCAAAGGCAGCAGCGCAGUCAUCAACUACAUGCACCAUUUCUUCACCACCUACGGAGUUGGGAAAACACGUGUGGACCUGAAUUGUGAUAACUGCAGUGGCCAAAACAAGAACAAGUUUGUGCUCUGGUAUUGUGCCUGGUGGACCGUGCACAAGCUCCACCAGAAUCUGGACCUUCACUUCCUGAUCACAGGCCACACCAAGUUUGCCCCUGACUGGGGCUUUGGUCUCAUCAAGCAGCGCUUCAUAAAGACCAGAGUGAACACUUUGUCUGAGAUUGCUGGUGUUGUGAAGGACAGUACUGUGACAGGGGUCAACAUCCCACAGCUGGUUGGACUGGAGGAUGGUACGGUGCUGGUGGAAAGCUAUGGCUGACAACAACACCUGACACCGUACUUCAGGCCGCUGCCACAGAUCAAGCAGUACCAGCACUUCAGCUUCGAUGCUCUGAAGCCUGGUGUUGUCGCCAAGGAGCGUUCAGACUGUC